CGGAGCUAAUGCCGGAUAACAUUUGGAACCGCAUGGUUCUAAAGUAAAAGAUGGUUUUGCUAUCACUUAUAGAUGGACCCGCGCCGUAUUAGCUAGUUGGUAAGGUAACGGCUUACCAAGGCAACGAUACGUAGCCGACCUGAGAGGGUGAUCGGCCACACUGGAACUGAGACACGGUCCAGACUCCUACGGGAGGCAGCAGUAGGGAAUCUUCCGCAAUGGACGAAAGUCUGACGGAGCAACGCCGCGUGAGUGAUGAAGGUUUUCGGAUCGUAAAACUCUGUUAUUAGGGAAGAACAAAUGUGUAAGUAACUGUGCACAUCUUGACGGUACCUAAUCAGAAAGCCACGGCUAGCUACGU
This 361-nucleotide ribosomal RNA is filed under the name uncultured bacterium. Its description in RNAcentral is "bacterial SSU rRNA". It matches the Rfam family "Bacterial small subunit ribosomal RNA", at positions 158 to 506 of the family's 1533-position model. The record is from RNAcentral.